AUUGAACGCUGGCGGCAGGCUUAACACAUGCAAGUCGAGCGGGGGAAGGUAGCUUGCUACCGGACCUAGCGGCGGACGGGUGAGUAAUGCUUAGGAAUCUGCCUAUUAGUGGGGGACAACAUCUCGAAAGGGAUGCUAAUACCGCAUACGUCCUACGGGAGAAAGCAGGGGAUCUUCGGACCUUGCGCUAAUAGAUGAGCCUAUGUCGGAUUAGCUAGUUGGUGGGGUAAAGGCCUACCAAGGCGACGAUCUGUAGCGGGUCUGAGAGGAUGAUCCGCCACACUGGGACUGAGACACGGCCCAGACUCCUACGGGAGGCAGCAGUGGGGAAUAUUGGACAAUGGGGGGAACCCUGAUCCAGCCAUGCCGCGUGUGUGAAGAAGGCCUUAUGGUUGUAAAGCACUUUAAGCGAGGAGGAGGCUAUUCUAGUUAAUACCUAGGGAUAGUGGACGUUACUCGCAGAAUAAGCACCGGCUAACUCUGUGCCAGCAGCCGCCGUAA
Molecule: ribosomal RNA, 501 nt
Filed under: uncultured bacterium
Lineage: Bacteria
Description: partial 16S ribosomal RNA
Rfam family: Bacterial small subunit ribosomal RNA
Source: RNAcentral